GGUUAGUUAGACGUCCGUGACGUACGAAGAACGACGCGUGGCCGGACGAGGCCUAGUACUACGAUCGAACGUACGACGCGUAUUAAGACUCCUUCGGGAGUGUAUAAAGCGGCGAACGGGUGAGUAACAGGUGGAUGAUCUACCUUCCGUGGGGGAUAACGGCUGGAAACGGCCGCUAAUACCGCAUUCGGUUAAUACGCUGUGGCGUAUUAAAGAAAGGCGCCUCAAAGCGCCGCCGGGAGAUGAGUCCGCCCCCCAUUAGCUAGUUGGUGAGAUAACAGCUCACCAAGGCAACGAUGGGUAGCCGAACUGAGAGGUUGAUCGGCCACACUGGAACUGAGACACGGUCCAGACACCUACGGGUGGCAGCAGUAGGGAAUAUUGGGCAAUGGGCGAAAGCCUGACCCAGCCAUGCCGCGUGAGUGAUGAAGGUCCUAGAGAUUGUAAAACUCUUUUCUGAGGAAAGAAUGAAUAGGGAAGGAAAUGUCCUUAUUUUGACGGUACCUCAGGAAUAAGGAACGGCUAACUCCGUG
This 533-nucleotide ribosomal RNA is filed under the name uncultured bacterium. Its description in RNAcentral is "bacterial SSU rRNA". It matches the Rfam family "Bacterial small subunit ribosomal RNA", at positions 1 to 507 of the family's 1533-position model. The record is from RNAcentral.